Molecule: long non-coding RNA, 3574 nt
Organism: Ochlerotatus camptorhynchus
Lineage: Eukaryota; Metazoa; Arthropoda; Insecta; Diptera; Culicidae
Exons: 3
Source: RefSeq, a predicted model, not a curated record
CGUUCGUUGGCUGAGGGGGUGGCAGUGUACUACUAUUACUGAACGUCGCCAAUAAGGAAGAUUCUUUGCGCGGCCCGUUCAUUUCAGUUUCAGUUCUAGUGCGUGCGCGAAGGCGUCCGGACGUGCCUGAUUUGAAGCCUGUUUGGAGCUUAUCGGUGGUAGAUUCUAAGAACAAAGACUUGGCGGUCGAUCGUUAGAGUCGGUAUUGUGUGUGAACGGAAGAAAACCGCGUCUGGCGUCCAGUGUGUAAAUUGAAUUCAAUUUGAAUCUGUUUACCGGCGUGUCGCUCUUACAAACGUGUUUCAGUUGAUUUUAAUUCAAUUUGGUCACUCGCAGGGUGUUUGCAAGAAUUAAACGUCUGCAUCAACGGAGGAGCACGCGUGCCUUGAUGGAACUCUAAUCUUUUUCAGAUCGAAGGCCAACAAUAAUCUGCAAUAGGCAGCGAAGAUCACGAUGCACCACGAUUGAUAGUUAGUUUCUGAUUAGUUCCCAUAAUCAACAGUAGUAAUAUAUACACCCGGGAAGACGUAACGUCGAUAUUCGCCACCGUACGACUCUGAGGAGAAGAAUCAUGCAAACCUAACUGACGGCAAUUAAAGGAUUGUGGAAAGUGAUUUAAAUUGGUGCCUCCGGCCGAAGUAGUGAUACAUAGUUCCGCGCUGAUGCAUUACAGGGAGUGUAUCGUGAUGUGCUAGGAAUUUCCGCCGUGUUUCACCUGUUGUGCUGGGUAAAUUUGCCAAUAAAAAGUACCGUGCAGUUAAGCACGCUCCGGGGGUAUACUUGAAAGUGUAGAUUCGAGCAUUAUCGAAGAAUCACCACUACCAUAGCAAAAAUGAUGGAUAUCACGUUCGAAAACAUUCAGUACACCGUGUCGGUGGGAAAGAAAGGUACGCUACAACAAAUUGUUUACUACUAUGAUAGUGGUAGCCACCUGUCAUAAAAUCGAAGCAACCAAAUAGCGGUUCCUGUUACUACUGGUUACUAACUGGUAUGUUUUAACUUUCGCUGUUCUAAAACUUGUUUUGCAACUAUUCUAUAGGCAUAUAGGGCUGGUGCACAGGCAGAGAACAAGUUCUAAGCCGCACUGCGAUUUAAUCUGAUUAAUAUUCCAUUCAAAAUUUGCAUCUUAUUCGCAAAACACCAAAGAACGAGAUAGCAAAGUAUUUCGCUAUGUAGAGAGAACCUGGACCUAUCUGGUUUUGGCAAUGACUGACAAAAUAAUAGCAUUUUCCUGCGAACGCCUAAACCGGUUCGAGAUAAUCGAAACAGGAGUUCAGUUUGUGACGUCAAUUUUUUAAAAUCUGGUUGUAGAAAAAAAUAUAUGCGAAAAUCAACAUCGGGGGUUGAGAGUGCAAAUGACUUCAUCGUAUACAGGCUGGAAGACUAUAUGGGCUUUUAAAUUUGUUCUUGCCUGUGUAAAUGAACGGGAAUAACUUUUGUUCUCCGUUUUUUUUUUAAUCAAUACCCUAAAAUAUCGCAGCAUAAUGGAUCAACUAGAUUUAUAAAAUUCCAUAAAUGCUUGAAUUGUUGAAAUUGAAAUAAUGUCAACCAAUUACAGAAAAAAAAAACUGAAUUUAUGCACCUAUAGUGGGACUUGACCCUACGUACGUAUUGAUUUCAAUUGUCGUAUCAUGGAUUUUGACUUUUGAAAAUAACUGGAGACUAUCCAAGGUGCACCCGGGACAUGUCCGGAUGUGAUCCUGGACACUUGAUAUAACCACCAUUGCACUUGUUUUUGCAUGCUUAUGUGAUUUGAGGUGUCGCAUGAUGGGGUCUUGUACAAGUCUAAAACUGGCCACUUCCCCUGGGGUACCCGAAACAUGUCAGGAUGUGUCCAAUAUGGUCCUUUGCACUUUAUAUAACCACUCGUACGUUUUUGAAUUCUCAUGUGACUUGAAGGUUUUGGUCCAUGUCUGAAAUUGGCUUUUUUCCCUGGGGUACCCGGAACAUAUCCGGAUGUGGUGAAUUUCAGCCUGGAUGCUCAAACAGUUAAAUAUUGAUUGAUUUGAUGUGUUACAUGAAGGGAUUAACAUAAUUCAGACUCACGACCCGUAUUCACUGCAUAAUGUUCUGGAUAUAUGUCCGCAACCAGUUGACUAAUUCCAAAAAUAUUCACCACAUCCAAGGACCACAAUACUUUUCAUUUAGCUGCUGUUGCGUCCAAUUAGGCUAAGUCGUUGCUGAGAAACAGGUUGCCCAAAAUUGUGUAACUCUCAUAUACAUAAACAUAACAGACAUUUUCUGAUCUCGUCGAGUCGAAUGGUAUAUGACACUUGGCCCUUCAGGCCUUGGAUCGAUAGUUGAUUUUCCAAACCUUUUGUAAGAAGAAAGAAACUGCAACAAUAAUAAUUAAUUAUAAUUAAAUAAAAUUUCAAAUACAUUUGCUUCAUUCUUGUUUAUUAUAUAUACUGAAUAUGUUUUCUGAAUACAACUCUAACUUAGCAGACAUGCAUCAAAUAUGCUACUGGAAAAUGUUUAAAAAAUAAGACACACAUUUUGCAAAAUUUUCCUGAUAUUUUUAAUAUUAAAGAAUUGCUAAAAUAUUACAGCUUCCCUUUUGGUACAGGCUUUCACAAACAUAUGUGUACAUAUGUUGAAGGAGCCAUGGAAAAAAAUAUAAUAAAAAAUCAUUUGUUUCCGAAAGAAAAAAUUAAAACAGUUACAUAAAAUAUAUAUUUUUGGAGCUUUGAUAAUGUGUUUUUUUUUGUGACGACUUACUUUGAAUGGUAAUUCAAAAUUUAUGGGAUUGACAAUAAAUAGGUUAAGCGCUGCAUAUUUUUGAUUCUAUCAUAAUCUUCACAUGUCUAGAAUAAACAAUACGGGUACAACGUAAAAUUAAAAGGUUACUGGUGCGGUGUUAUAUGUAGGUGUUCGCUUGAUAAAGUUAACUAAAAACUCAGAGUGGUGCAAACAACACUGGUGCUACUCUAAAAUAAGGGAGCGCGUCCCUAAAAUUUUGAAGGAGAAAGAGACAAAGGAGAGAGAGAUUUCAUAUUUAAGAGAGAGUAGUUGGACAGCUCAGGUGCUACUUGCGAAUAGCACAAUCGAGUAGUUCGCGGUGUUAUGACGGGAGUAGCACUUUUCAAUCGAGAGAGACGUGGCUUAGAGAUUUACAAGAAUGACUGCAUAUUUUAGGCUGGGUGCAUAAUAUUUUGACACUCAUAUAAUAUAUGUUGCAGUGUCUGUAGGAAAAUGUAAAUUUUGAUGCUUUUCCUAAAGAGAGUUUUUUUUAAGAUCGAUGUGUAAUUUUCUUCACAAGGGGAGUUAGCUCUGGUCGACAUUCCGGCGAAAAAUCUAAGUCAACCCGACACCAACCUGACUUCUAGCAAACCCCAACCCGAUGAUGACCUGACAUUGACCCGACAUGAACCCACAAUCGACCCGAAAUUGGGUCGACAUCUACCCUAAAUUUGCCUCACAUUGAUCCGACAUCGGGUUGACAUAAAGGGCGAACACGAAAUUAUUGCGACACCGAAAAUGUCAUGCCAAUUUUCUUAUAAUGUUUAGAAUCAAACCAAAAUUUUAGGGUAGUUUUAUACAUAUAUUUACUUCAAAAAUCAAAAGAAAAGUUAAU